AAAAAAAAUUUUUAUAGUUUAUAAUUUUUAUUUUAAAUUUAUUUUACAUACAAAUUUUAGUGUUAAUUUAUAAUUAUUUUAAUAAUAAUAAAUAUUAAUGUAGUAAUUAAUUUUAAAUUAUUUAAGAAAUUAAGAUUUAGUAAUAUAGAAAUUAAAAACUAAUUUUGUGCCAGCAGUUGCGGUUAAACAAAAUUUAAAUUAAAAAAUUUUAGUAAUUUAAUAUAUGUAUGUGUAUUUAAAAUAAAUAUUGAAUUAUUAGGUGAAAUUUUAAUUUAAUAAAAUUUUAUAUGAUUUAUAUGAAUUAAUAAAUUUAAUAAAAAACUAGGAUUAGAUACCCUAUUAUUAAAAUUUAAUUUUAAAAACUAAAAUAGUAAAUAAUUAUUUAUUGAAAUUUAAUUGAUUUGGCGGUAUUUUAGUUCAUUUAGAGGAAUCUGUUUAAUAAUUGAUAAUCCACGAAUAAAUUUACUUAAUUUAUAAUUUUAUAUAUCGUUGUUAAAAAAAUAUUUUUUAAUAGAAAUAAUAUUUAAAUUUUUAUAGUUAAAAGUUAAUUCAGAUCAAGAUGUAGAUAAUAAUUAAGAGUAUAAUGGAUUACAAUAAAUUUAUUUAGAUGAAUUUUUUUUUUGUAAAAGUUAAAUGAAGGUGGAUUUAAAUGUAAUUUUAUUUAAUUUAAUAAAAUGAUUAAAAAUUAAAAUAUGUACAUAUUGCCCGUCGCUUUCAUUUAAAAGUUGAAAUAAGUCGUAACAAAGUAGAGGUACUGGAAAGUGUUUCUAGAAUAAU
This 777-nucleotide non-coding RNA is filed under the name Cigaritis takanonis. The record is from RNAcentral. Lineage: Eukaryota; Metazoa; Arthropoda; Insecta; Lepidoptera; Lycaenidae.